AAUCAUCAUGUAAUAUAAGACUUGAUCAAUAAAUAAGGCGUUUAAAUAAAAAACCCAUAACUCUAAAAAAUAUUUAGUUGAAAAUAAUGAAAAUAAAUGUUAGCAGAUAAUUUACAUAUCGCAUAGGAAAUAGCGGUUGAGGGUCUAAUCGCAUUACUAUGCAAUUUUCGUUAUCAUACCCACAUUUUGUUAUUGAGUUAUAUUUCUUAUCAUGUGCAUAGAAAAUGUUGGAAUUUUUAAAACCAAUGACAAUGAUAAAACUGAAUAUAAUUUUGCACACGCACACUUUCUACAACACGUCAUAGGGUGGGGCACGCAACCUUAUAAAUUUCAAAAUCCACCUCAGGACGGUCUAUUCCAUAGUCUAUUCCUUACUGUUAGUGCUCGUUGUGGUUCAACUAGUUUUGCAAGAUGGAUUUAUCAAAAAUUAAUGCCUCAUCUGUCGUAGCGAGGAAACCCGUGAAGAAACUCAAAGAAUUACCGAUCGACAUUCCAGUACCCAUUACGGGAGCCAAAAUUGUGAAGACAAAGUUUGGGCAAGCUGUUCUGUUAGAUUUGGGGGAAGAGGUGGUGUUUCUACCGCCUAGAGUCACAGAUACCUACAGCCCCGUCAUUGAGGAGUUUUCGAGCGGGAAGUAUUCGAUAGUUUAUCACGGCCUGGUGGACUGCGGCCAACAGUACCAGCCCAUGACAUCAUUUAAAAUUAUCUAAGCGAAAAUACUGAGAGAAAGAGAGAUGAAUGUUCCAUCAUUGACCGACCUGUCUAUCAAAAAAAUCUGUGAAACAACAGUAUCAGCAUCAUAUUUCAUCGAGCAGUCCCCCUUGCCGUGGACAUUAACAAAAAUAAUAUUAAAAAAAUUUCCUUUAUAUAAAUGGGAAACGAUGAUAAGCAGUGCUAAAAAUGAUCCUAUUCCUUCAUAUAAAGGAAUAGAAUUUAUUGCUUGCUCUAAACACAUACCGUCACAUUUAAGAAAUGUCGUAUUAGGAAAGUCAGAUUGGGGGAGUAUAUUUGAAGAUGAACACUCCAGUUAUUGUGUAUGGGCUAAUGGAUAUUAUCUUAAGCAGCAUCGCCUAAACGUAUGUAAAUCAUGUUUUUUUGCAUUCAAAAAUGCUCAUGAGACCUUAAAUAAAUUUUUACUGGUGCGUUACGACCAUACUCACGAAGUUUAUGAUGCUGAUGAUAUCGUUGAAUGCGUAUAUCAGCAACCAUAUUAUUGGUGCAAUAGUUGCUUUACUCAAGUUUUAUUCGAUUUAAAAGAUUACGAGUCUUGCGUUAAUGCAUUACAUGAAAUGCCUAGAAAUAACAGGUUUGAUGAUUCUGAACCAGAAGUCUGAAGUAGGCAGUAAUAUUGAUUCUUUUUUAAGGAACAAACUGCUACUCAACACUCCAUUCGGUCAUAUAGCCAUAACGUCUAUAGUAUAGAACAAACAAAAAUUGCGCUAAGUCCUUAUGACGAUAAAAGAUAUUUAAUUCCAAAUAGUUUUAGAACCCUACCAUUGGGACAUUACAGUAUUUUAGAAUAGAUUUUUAUUGCAGAAGAACGUUGAAAUGUCUCACAGAUGUGUUACACCAGACCUAUGGACUCCCGCUAAUCUGCAACAAAUAGCAGCCAAUAAAAUUUAUUGGGAUGUAGUUGAUGCUAAUACAAAGACAUUUACGCUUCCAAGUGGAGAGCAACAUCCUCUCCCUCAAGAUGUGAUUGGUAUUGAACGAUGGUACAGCAAGCAAGGAUGUACCGCGAAUUUUAAGAUUCCCAAGCAAAUACGAUUCAGUUUAAACGUAAAUUGUAUAAGAGAAUUAAAACUACAAAUUGUGAAGAACUGUGAAAAAGUGAUGUCAUGCGGGUGUCGAAGAUGCGGGGCUCCCUAUGGAUUCCCCCCAAUUUACAAAAAAUAGCGAAUACAAUCCUAAGUAAAUUGUCUAAGAGAAUUAAAACUACAAAUUGCAAAUAUAUAAAAAUUGAUUUUUGAGACGAAUUAUGUUCAUAAGCUACUAUCUCUCUUUUGUACUAAACGCAUAACAAUAUCCACGUGCUAUCUCUCUCUUUCUUGUAUAUAUA
Molecule: unclassified non-coding RNA, 2060 nt
Filed under: Diabrotica virgifera virgifera (western corn rootworm)
Lineage: Eukaryota; Metazoa; Arthropoda; Insecta; Coleoptera; Chrysomelidae
Description: uncharacterized LOC126888315
Source: RNAcentral